This 435-nucleotide ribosomal RNA is filed under the name uncultured bacterium. RNAcentral's name for it is "partial 16S ribosomal RNA". It matches the Rfam family "Bacterial small subunit ribosomal RNA", at positions 29 to 507 of the family's 1533-position model. The record is from RNAcentral.
AGCGAACGCUGGCGGCAGGCUUAACACAUGCAAGUCGAGCGGGCAUCUUCGGAUGUCAGCGGCAGACGGGUGAGUAACACGUGGGAACGUACCCUUCGGUUCGGAACAACUCUGGGAAACUGGAGCUAAUACCGGAUACGCCCUUAUGGGGAAAGGUUUACUGCCGAAGGAUCGGCCCGCGUCUGAUUAGCUAGUUGGUGGGGUAACGGCCUACCAAGGCGACGAUCAGUAGCUGGUCUGAGAGGAUGAUCAGCCACACUGGGACUGAGACACGGCCCAGACUCCUACGGGAGGAAGCAGUGGGGAAUAUUGGACAAUGGGCGCAAGCCUGAUCCAGCCAUGCCGCGUGAGUGAUGAAGGCCUUGGGGUUGUAAAGCUCUUUUGUCCGGGACGAUAAUGACGGUACCGGAAGAAUAAGCCCCGGCUAACUUCGUG